This 465-nucleotide ribosomal RNA is filed under the name uncultured bacterium. RNAcentral's name for it is "partial 16S ribosomal RNA". It matches the Rfam family "Bacterial small subunit ribosomal RNA", at positions 28 to 507 of the family's 1533-position model. The record is from RNAcentral.
GAUGAACGCUGGCGGCGUGCUUAACACAUGCAAGUCGAACGGAAAGGCUCCUGCUUGCAGGGGUACUCGAUUGCCGAAGGGGUGAGUAAAACGUGGGGGAUCUCCCCUUCACUUCGGGAUAUGCCUGGGAAACUGGGUCUAUUACCGGAUAGAACGUUGUUUUGGAUGCCAUUUUGAAAAGUUUUUCGGUGUGGGAUGAGCUCGCGGCCUAUCAGCUUGUUGGUGGGGUAAUGGCCUACGAAGGCGUCGACGGGUAGCCGGCCUGAGAGGGGGUACGGCCACAUUGGGACUGAGAUACGGCCCAGACUCCUACGGGAGGCAGCAGUGGGGAAUAUUGCACAAUGGGCGCAAGCCUGAUGCAGCGACGCCGCGUGGGGGAUGACGGCCUUCGGGUUGUAAACUCCUUUCGCUAGAGACGAAGCGCAAGUGACGGUACCUGGAGAAGAAGCACCGGCUAACUACGUG